RNAcentral lists this ribosomal RNA (483 nucleotides) under uncultured bacterium. RNAcentral describes it as "partial 16S ribosomal RNA". It matches the Rfam family "Bacterial small subunit ribosomal RNA", at positions 28 to 507 of the family's 1533-position model. The record is from RNAcentral.
GACGAACGCUGGCGGCGUGCUUAACACAUGCAAGUCGAACGCUGAAGCUCAGCUUUUGUUGGGUGGAUGAGUGGCGAACGGGUGAGUAACACGUGAGUAACCUGCCCCCUUCUUUGGGAUAACGCCCGGAAACGGGUGCUAAUACUGGAUAUUCACUGGUCUUCGCAUGGGGGUUGGUGGAAAGGGUUUUUCUGGUGGGGGAUGGGCUCGCGGCCUAUCAGCUUGUUGGUGGGUUGAUGGCCUACCAAGGCUUUGACGGGUAGCCGGCCUGAGAGGGUGACCUGUCACAGUGGGACUGAGAUACGGCCCAGAGUCCUACGGGAGGCAGCAGUUGGGAAUAUUGCACAAUGGGCGCAAGCCUGAUGCAGCGACGCCGAGUGAGGGAUGGAGGCCGUAGGGUUGUGAACCUCGUUCGCUCAUGGUCAAGCCGAAACAAUGGUUGUGGUGAGGGUAGUGGGUAAAGAAGCGCCGGCUAACUACGUG